RNAcentral lists this long non-coding RNA (2327 nucleotides) under Nicotiana benthamiana. Its description in RNAcentral is "long non-coding RNA (NBEN_LNC030142)". The record is from RNAcentral. Lineage: Eukaryota; Viridiplantae; Streptophyta; Magnoliopsida; Solanales; Solanaceae.
CCACUUUGAAACCCCUUCUUCUCUUUAACUCUCUCGAACCUUCAUCAACCCUAAUCGUCUUCAACCUCAAAACCCACCGGAAACCAUGGUUUCUCCGGCUGUGGUAGUCUUAUACUCACCCUCUGUAACUCAUGUGGGCUCGAUACUUGAAGAAUCGAGGCCAGACCUUGAAGGUCUUCAUCCAGACCUUUAAGGUCUUCAUCCAGACAUUCGUCGGCUCAAGGUUCCACGGCCAUCUUCGGCCUUGCUCCGGCGUAUCCUGGUACUAUGAGCCUAUCUCUAACCUUUCCAACCAAGAUCGGACCUUUUCAAACCCUUUCUCAUUCUAGGGCUCUUCUGAAACCCUAACUAUUUGAGGUUUUCUCCGAUUUUUCUUAUUUUUCUUAUAUAUCUGUGCUCUACUUGAGUUUUUGAAUGAUUUCCUCAACUUUUCUUUCAAAAAUUACAUCUUUGCGAGUUAGGGUUUCCUGAAAAUGUUCAAAUGUUUCUUUGACUUUCUUUCCCUUAUCUAUGUGUGUAUUUUUCUCCGCUAUGUUCAUAUGUUUUCUUUUCUACCACGCAUGUUCUUCUACUGUGUUCUUAUGUUUUUCCUUUUAUCACGCAUGUUCCUCUAUUGUAUUUUCUAUAUUCUGGUCUUUCUUCUACUGUGUUUUCUACGCUAUGUUUUCACAUGCUUUCUAACUAUGUUCUACUAUUUUCCUUCCACUAUGAUCUGAUAUGCAUAACCAAUUGUUUCCUUCUGCCAUGUUCUUAAGUGUUUACUAUUUCACUUCUAUUUUACCUUGUCUUAAGAGAUCCAUUUAAUCAUGUGUUUCUUCUAUUAUCAUUGUGUUUCGAAUUAGUUCUUCACUCUAUUUACUUUGAACUUUCAACUGUAUUUGCUUGUUUUCUCAUGGGUUUCUGAAAGAAAUUACUUACUUCCUCGUCUCUAUUCUUGACUCGAGGUGGAAACCCUAGAAUUUGGGGGGUUCUGCCAAGGUUUGGUAAUGUGAUUGAACUAGGGAUCUGUUUGAGUACCCUUGACUCUUUCAGACUAAUCUCUACGUCUAUGAACUAAGUUUGAACUUCUUUGUUUGCAUACAAUUCUGAACUUUUUAAAUUCUUCUACGCUAGAUUCUUCUACUGAUUGGCACGCUAGUUCUUCGUGUUUAAGUAUGUCUAUAUGCUUUUAUAUGUAUGAUGAAUCUUUCUCCCAAAAGUUUUUCCAACUUAUAUUGGUUCAGAAUCCUCUUUUUUUAGGUCUGAUUGAUUGAUAUUGAAUUUUCUUAAGUAAAACCUUUCCUCACCUUUUCUGACUGGAUUCAUUCAUACCAAAUUCAAACCUUGUGAUUUAGUGACUGUUAAUUGGUCUCUUUCCUUAAAUUGCACAAAUCGUGUACUGUCCAAACCUUGUCCUUAAAUAAACCUUUAUAUAUUUACCCAUAUUAUUCUACCUUACACAAAGUGUUUGAUUAAUUUAGUUCUUUAAUUAGUUUUACUGUUUGAAAUCUGAACCCCUUUUUUAAAGGGAAAAGUUGUGUAAUUAAUUGACAAUUGAUUCUCAAACUAUUCUCUUACCUUAUUUCUGCUUUCCUUCUACAUUAUAAAAGUCACGACCUCUUUUUCAAAAAGACGCAAUAGAUUAAACACUUUUAUACUUUAGACUUCAUAUUUGCAAUCUUACAAUUCUCUUCUAAACUCAUUGUAUUUUGAUUGCUUGUUUGCACUGUGGUUUUACAAGACCACUGCCUUCUUCUUACUUGUUUCUUUAAGAUUGGUAUGUUCUAGUUUUUGUUUCAGGAUCAUCCCAAUGUGUUUACUUAUAGCCUUUAUAUCCAUGUCUAUUUUACUGUCUAUGUGCAGUUAAAUGUUUAACUAGCAUAUUAAUUUCUUUUUAGUUGUUUCUGUUGUGAAUCCAUGUACCCCUGUUUCCCUUUAUGUGCUUUGAGUUGUAGUUCAGAACAUGGCAAUAUGCAAGUUAUUUUUCAUGUUUGGACUUGAUCCUUUAGGGGAUCCUGACUCCCAAAAUAAUGUUUUUUAUCAGGCUUGUGGGGUGUGCCAACAUUUCUCAUUGCUAGGUAUGCCCACUAGCAUGUCCUUGCUCCUUUACCACUUCCCCUUUCCCUUUUUCAAAACUCUGCACUUAUAUUCUCCUCUAGUUUCUAAUUUCUACCCCUCUUGUGAGCCUUGCCUUGGGUCCUUGAGUUCUCUCUGAACUUGGACACUUGAGGGCUGGCCCUUCUAUGCUGCACUAUGUCCUAACCCUAUAAUGCAUUUGGGUGUGAGCACUGCCCGAAGUCCAUGUGAGGCUCUCAGGGAACUCAGACAUAUUCAAAUGAGAGAAAAGC